Long non-coding RNA from Humulus lupulus (European hop), 1001 nucleotides. RefSeq lists it as uncharacterized. The record is from RefSeq and is a predicted model, not a curated record. The transcript has 3 exons. NCBI's taxonomy places the organism in Eukaryota, Viridiplantae, Streptophyta, Magnoliopsida, Rosales, Cannabaceae.
AUACAUAACUUAUCUCUGUAAAGGCCUUAGUUCUCCAUAUUUAUGAGUUUUUCAUUUUGGACAGUAAGGGAACGCAAAAAAAGAAAAGAAAGAAAAACGACUCCAGCUCUUCCUUGGUGACACAAUCUUGAUUAAGGAAAGAGCAUUAAAGAAUACUACCAAUCGAUCAAAGAGGAAAUGGGAGUCGAAAAAUGGUUCAGUCUCCACACCACGACAUCACAUUCGACGUGGAAUGGUGUUAACUUCUCCGACCGGUCAAAUUGAGACAUGGCGUCUAAAGCAUUAUGAUGCUGAGAAAUGAUGAACUGGAAUAGAGCUCGGGCCAUUAUAUGAUAAAAUGAUGGAGUUAAGGGGUCAACAUCCUCCAGAAGAACUGUCUGAUAAAGAGAUUAUGGAGCGUGUACUUGGACAUGAUUCGGUAUACUUGCGAGGGUGGGGGCGGUCUCCUAGUGUCACAACUUCUACUUCACAUCGUGAAAAUAUUGUGGGUAAUCAACCAACUUAUGAAGGGUUACUUGAACGACUUAAUGAUACAACUUCCCGCCUUAAUGCUACUAACGAACAACUUAGUGUAGUUGUGGAUAUACUUCGUCAUAACAAUUUGAUGGCACCGCCUCGACCACCUCCAACAGACCAAGCUUCAGAUGCAAAUUUAAGAGAGUCGCCAUCUAUUUCAGUUCAGGAGUCACAAGAUGAUUCUUAGUUUAUUUACAUUAAUUUACUAAGGAAUGAACUUUAUGAAGUUUUUUUUAUUUUGGUCGGGGUAACCUUAAAAUGAUAACUUUAUGACUUAUUUUAGUAUUGAACAUUAUAAAGAAUUUUAGCAUUAAACAUUUUAUUAUUGAAUGGUUUUUUUCUAGUUUAUUUCUAAUAUAGAACAUUUACAAAUAAUUGUUAUUAUCUUUUACCUACACAUAACCAUUAAAUUUGAACAAAAUAUAAAUUGUGUAACAAACCAAUAAAAUAAUGCUAUGUGGGCUAAUAAAAUGAUACCACGUAGG